UACGUAGGGUGCAAGCGUUGUCCGGAAUUACUGGGCGUAAAGAGCUCGUAGGUGGUUUGUCGCGUUGUUCGUGAAAACCGGGGGCUUAACCCUCGGCGUGCGGGCGAUACGGGCAGACUUGAGUACUGCAGGGGAGACUGGAAUUCCUGGUGUAGCGGUGGAAUGCGCAGAUAUCAGGAGGAACACCGGUGGCGAAGGCGGGUCUCUGGGCAGUAACUGACGCUGAGGAGCGAAAGCGUGGGGAGCGAACAGG
This 253-nucleotide ribosomal RNA is filed under the name uncultured bacterium. RNAcentral's name for it is "partial 16S ribosomal RNA". It matches the Rfam family "Bacterial small subunit ribosomal RNA", at positions 524 to 776 of the family's 1533-position model. The record is from RNAcentral.